RNAcentral lists this transfer RNA (68 nucleotides) under Ictidomys tridecemlineatus (thirteen-lined ground squirrel). RNAcentral describes it as "Spermophilus tridecemlineatus (thirteen-lined ground squirrel) tRNA". It matches the Rfam family "tRNA". Rfam says of the family: Transfer RNA (tRNA) molecules are approximately 80 nucleotides in length. Their secondary structure includes four short double-helical elements and three loops (D, anti-codon, and T loops). Further hydrogen bonds mediate the characteristic L-shaped molecular structure. tRNAs have two regions of fundamental functional importance: the anti-codon, which is responsible for specific mRNA codon recognition, and the 3' end, to which the tRNAs corresponding amino acid is attached (by aminoacyl-tRNA synthetases). tRNAs cope with the degeneracy of the genetic code in two manners: having more than one tRNA (with a specific anti-codon) for a particular amino acid; and 'wobble' base-pairing, i.e. permitting non-standard base-pairing at the 3rd anti-codon position. Lineage: Eukaryota; Metazoa; Chordata; Mammalia; Rodentia; Sciuridae. The record is from Rfam by way of RNAcentral.
GGUUGUGGCUCAGUGGUAAGAGCACUUGCCUCGCACGUGAGAGACCCUGGGUUCGAUCCUCAGCACCA